This 741-nucleotide ribosomal RNA is filed under the name uncultured bacterium. RNAcentral describes it as "bacterial SSU rRNA". It matches the Rfam family "Bacterial small subunit ribosomal RNA", at positions 644 to 1384 of the family's 1533-position model. The record is from RNAcentral.
GAGNGCAGAAGGGGAGAGUGGAAUUCCAUGUGUAGCGGUGAAAUGCGUAGAUAUAUGGAGGAACACCAGUGGCGAAAGCGGCUCUCUGGUCUGUCACUGACGCUGAGGCUCGAAAGCGUGGGUAGCGAACAGGAUUAGAUACCCUGGUAGUCCACGCCGUAAACGAUGAGUGCUAGGUGUUAGGCCCUUUCCGGGGCUUAGUGCCGGAGCUAACGCAAUAAGCACUCCGCCUGGGGAGUACGACCGCAAGGUUGAAACUCAAAGGAAUUGACGGGGGCCCGCACAAGCGGUGGAGCAUGUGGUUUAAUUCGAAGCAACGCGAAGAACCUUACCAGGUCUUGACAUCCCGAUGCUAUUCUUAGAGAUAGGAAGUUACUUCGGUACAUCGGAGACAGGUGGUGCAUGGUUGUCGUCAGCUCGUGUCGUGAGAUGUUGGGUUANNNNNNNNNNACGAGCGCAACCCUUAUUGUUAGUUGCCAUCAUUAAGUUGGGCACUCUAGCGAGACUGCCGGUAAUAAACCGGAGGAAGGUGGGGAUGACGUCAAAUCAUCAUGCCCCUUAUGACCUGGGCUACACACGUGCUACAAUGGUCGGUACAACGAGUUGCGAGCCGGUGACGGCAAGCUAAUCUCUGAAAGCCGAUCUCAGUUCGGAUUGGAGGCUGCAACUCGCCUCCAUGAAGUCGGAAUCGCUAGUAAUCGCGGAUCAGCACGCCGCGGUGAAUACGUUCCCGGGCCUUGU